GUACCGGAUGGAAGUUAUGCCGCUGUGUUCCAUUGUUGCAAACCCAAGGAGAGCGAACUGUCAGGGAUGCGAACGGUAC
Small RNA from Planktothrix tepida PCC 9214, 79 nucleotides. It matches the Rfam family "CyVA-1 RNA". From Rfam's summary of the family: Cyanobacteria, Acidobacteria (1 example), Verrucomicrobia (1 example). Big IGRs Lineage: Bacteria; Bacillati; Cyanobacteriota; Cyanophyceae; Oscillatoriales; Microcoleaceae. The record is from Rfam.